Molecule: long non-coding RNA, 296 nt
Filed under: Trifolium pratense (red clover)
Lineage: Eukaryota; Viridiplantae; Streptophyta; Magnoliopsida; Fabales; Fabaceae
Description: long non-coding RNA (TPRA_LNC005266)
Source: RNAcentral
ACCAACAACUUGCUAGAAGUAGCAGCAAGCAAUCACAACCAUUUCUGACCAUAAGUCCAAAUACCAAAUCCGAACAUGAAUUUGACUUGAAGAUCUUGUAAAUUCCCAAGGAUUAUUUAUGCAUAAUACUUCCACCAAAAUAAUUACCAUCGAUUACCAUAAUUAGAAGACGGUCUGGAUCGUCUAUAGGGAAUGUUUUAAUGGAGACGAUCCAAUGUAAAUCUCAGCCAUCCAAUAUUUAUUAUAGAUAUAAACAGUACACUACAAAAAUGAAAUGAGUAGUUGUGAUGCCACUA